GACGAACGCUGGCGGCGUGCUUAACACAUGCAAGUCGAACGGAAAGGCCCUGCUUUUGUUGGUUGCUCGAGUGGCGAACGGGUGAGUAACACGUGAGUAACCUGCCCUUGACUUUGGGAUAACUUCAGGAAACUGGGGCUAAUACCGGAUAUGAGCUCCUGCUCCAUGGUGGUGGUUGGAAAGUUUCGGCGGUUGGGGAUGGACUCGCGGCUUAUCAGCUUGUUGGUGGGGUAGUGGCUUACCAAGGCUUUGACGGGUAGCCGGCCUGAGAGGGUGACCGGACACAUUGGGACUGAGAGACGGCCCAGACUCCUACGGGAGGCAGCAGUGGGGAAUAUGGCACAAUGGGCGGAAGCCUGAUGCAGCAACGCCGCGUGCGGGAUGACGGCCUUCGGGUUGUAAACCGCUUUCGCCUGUGACGAAGCGUGAGUGACGGUAAUGGGUAAAGAAGCACCGGCUAACUACGUG
Molecule: ribosomal RNA, 468 nt
Filed under: uncultured bacterium
Lineage: Bacteria
Description: partial 16S ribosomal RNA
Rfam family: Bacterial small subunit ribosomal RNA
Source: RNAcentral